This 23-nucleotide unclassified non-coding RNA is filed under the name Mus musculus (house mouse). Its description in RNAcentral is "oocyte_clustered_small_RNA9734". The record is from RNAcentral. Lineage: Eukaryota; Metazoa; Chordata; Mammalia; Rodentia; Muridae.
CUGUUGCCUUCGCAGAUGCUGUC